This 2769-nucleotide long non-coding RNA is filed under the name Mus musculus (house mouse). Its description in RNAcentral is "long non-coding RNA chr5:88761451-88764220". Lineage: Eukaryota; Metazoa; Chordata; Mammalia; Rodentia; Muridae. The record is from RNAcentral.
ACUGUAUUUGUUAUUUUUGUAUAUGCAUAACCAGGGUGGUGAGAUCACUAAUAUUUUAGGAAAUACCUUUGUUAUAUUUGAUUUUUUUCUAUACAUUUAAGUUAUUACUUAAAAUUAUUGGUAGAAAUAAUGUUGUGAAGACAGCAUAUAAGGAAUACUUAACGUCAGAAUAGAAAUCAUUUCUGAAGAUAGAAAUCAGAAAUGCUGCAGGUGCCAGGUAAUGGGAGCAGCAGGGCAGCAUUCUCACUGUGCAACUGCUUAAGACAUGCACGGAGACAAGAGUCCGCAGUCACGGGGGACAGGUUCUCUAGUAAGAUAGUUAGAUGGGCAAAAAUAUCUAAAAUAUGAAAUGCAACGUAGGCGCCAUAUUGUAAGUUGUGCCAAGAUUAUGCAAAUUAGUUAUUGAUCAAAGUUGUUUCACUGUUGUUAUUUUAAAGGAAACACUGAAUGUCAGAAAAUCUGUAAUAUGUUUUAUUUGAUAGAUGUAAAUAAUGUAUACAGUCUUAUGUGGCAGAAUGGGAGGUAUUUACAUUUUAGGUUUUUUUUCUUUAGAAGAAAAUGUUUAUAAGGAAAAAAACCCUAAUAAAUACUUUUGUUUGGCCAUGAAUCCUGCCUUCGCAUUAGUUUAUUUUUACUGUAGGUAGUUUUACAAUGAAAACAUUUCAAAGAAAAGUAAAGGUAUUUAGAACAAAUUGAUCAUUUCAAAAUUUGUUAGGCAGCACUUUCAGUAAUUCUUACAACACUGGUAGUUACCAUCUAUGUACCACACAUACUAAAAUUCAGAAAUUGUAGAAGUCAUUGGCUCUCAGACUUGAAGGUUCUUAUAUGCCUGCAGUUAAAACUAAUGUUUUCUUUAGUGUGUACUAUUGCAGUGAGAGAAAAAAAAAAUGACAGCAAAAUAAUGUAAUAUUUAUGGACCUUUCAACUGAACUAAGAAAUGAUCCAUUUUAUCUUUAUUAUAAAUCAUUAAAUAAUAUUAGUAACAUUAGAAUAAUAUACCCUAAGAUCUGAAGUUAUAAAAGGAAAUGUAUAUUCCAGAGUAUUAUUAAAGUAUUAUUUGGAGAAUUUUAUGUUACAGGAAUUGUGCUUAGAUCUUAAGGUUGAAAUAUUUUGAAUAGUGGCUAUUGUCAAUCAUAAUGGACCACUGCCACACUACUCAGGAAGACAUUUAUGUGUGUGCAGGUCCACUUGUGUUAAUAGACACAGAAGGGGGGCUGGAGAGAUGGCUCAGUGGGUAAGAACACUAACUGCUCUUCAGAAGGUCCUGAGUUCAAAUCCCAGUAGCCACAUGGUGGCCACAACCAUCUGUAAUGAGAUCUGACGCCCUCUUCUGGUGUGUCUGAAGACAGCUACAGUAUACUCACAUUUAAAAAAAAAAAAAAAAAGACACAGAAGCCAGGAGCCAAGCUGGAGCCCGACAUGCGUGGGAGUGUGCGCACGUGCACACACACUCACACAGAGUUUUAUGUGUAUAUGUGUGUGCCUGAGUGUACAUAUAUGCACUGUGUGCAUGCAGGAGCCUGUGGAGGUCAGAAGUGGCAUUGGUCCUCUUGGAACUGGAGUUACAGGUGAUUGUGAGCUGUUAUAUGGAAGCUGGCAAUUGAUCCUGGGUCCUCUACAAGGGCAGUCAGUGCUCUUAAUCCCUGAGCCAUCACUCCAGUGUCUUAAUUGAAAGUAUAUUUUUUCAUAUAAUAUAUUCUGAUUAUGGAUUCCCUUCCCCAACUCCUUCCAGAUCCUGUCUUUCCGCCCUACCCAUAUCCAGAGUCUUACUAUCAUCAGCAUACAAGCAACAUCUGCAAAUAGUAAUGAAAUAAGAGAAAAUUAAAAACAAUCAGAGUAGGCUGAAGCCAACAAACUACUAGGAGAAAACCAAAGAAAAGGCACAAGAAACACAGACAGACAGAGACAUACAUUAGCACACAGAGAAAUUCCGUAAAAACGACACUGGAAGUAGUAAGAUAAAUAAGAAGGACCAGUAAGGGGGAAAAUGUAUAAUGACAAAACUAAUACCCAGACAAAACAUUAAGUUCUGGAGCCAGGGAUCUCUAGAACUGCCACUGAGUUGGUUUUGUGUUGGCCAUCUAUGCUGCUGGGCAUGGCAUCUCUCCUUAAGAGUGGUUUGUAUUCCCAGUGAGAGUAUGUUAGGGAAAACUAAUUUUUUCAUUUACAAGCAGUUUUCAAUUGGAAUAACUUCUGGGCUAGGGUCAGAGCCAUGUGUCCACUUUUUCAGCUCUAGGACCCCAACUGGCUUAGCUUUAUGCAGGGAACAUGCAUGCUGCCUCACUGUGAAUUCAUGUGUGUGUUGGUCAUGGUGGGUUUAGAAGGCCUUGUGUCCUUGGUGUCCUCCAUUGCCUCUGACUCCUAGACUUUCCCCAUCGUUUUCCAUAAGGUUCCCAGAGCCCUGAGGAGAGGGCUUUGGUGGAGACAUCCCAUUUAAAGCAGAGUAUGCCAAGGUCUCCCUCUCUGCACUUUAUGCCUUUGUGGGUUUGGUUCUGCAGAAAGAAGCAUCUCUGAUGCUGGCUACAAGAGAUACUGACCUAUAGGAUAUCACUAGGUAUCAUUUUAUUGUUCAGUUAUUGUAGCAGAACAGUAUUUGGAUUGCCACCUGAGCAGUGUCAGAUAUGUGUUACAUCUCAUGGAGUGGGCCUUAAAUCCAGCCAGUCCAACAACUCACUUUAAUACCUGCUCCUUUUUUUGUAGAAGUCGUCAUUUCUCCGCUGCUAGGUCCAUUUUUAGGACAUAUUUUAGGUCAAAUGAUAGUUACACGCU